GUGCCCGGGCAGCCUGGCGCAAAAGGUCGCGCAGCGGGAGUGUGUCCCUGCCGUCAAACGAGGCCCCGAACGUCCCCACUUCCGCCGUACAGGCUCUCACUGUCGUAAAUUAGGACGGGGACGGGGACGGGGGGGCGCUGCCGUCAAGCGCGGCGCGAGGUCGCAAAAGCGGCGGGCGGGAAAAAAGACCCCCGGGGCAAGGCGAGAGGCGGCGGGGCAGAAGGGCCGGUAUCGGGGGGAGAGCUAGGAAGGUGGGUGCAACCAUAGAGGAGCAGCGGCGCGCCCCGCCCCCUUUGGCCGGACGCGACCAAUUCCCGCUGGGGCCCCGCCCACCGCGGCGGAAGGGCCCCGCCCACCACCCGUCACCAAGGCGACGCCCGGCGCCAUUUUGGCGUGGGGAGGUGGCCGCCAUUUUGGGAAGGGCGGGGAGAAGGCGGCCGGUCCCAACCGUCCCGCCCCGUCCCCGACCCUGCCGGGGACCCGGCGGGUAGACGGAGGUGGAGCGGGACGGACAGGGCCCCCCCGGGGCGGCCGCCGCCGCCGCCAUGGCCGCCGUCUGGCAGCAGGUACUCGCCGUGGAUGCCAGAUCCAGCGUAUCGAACUCCUUGCUUUAUAAAGCUGCUACCAUCUGUAUACAGUUCCCAGUCCGGUCACUCCAAUGGUACAUCCUUCAGAUCUUCACGACUGGAAUAAGCAUACUCAAUAGCAGCCAGGUAAUCAUGUUCCAAUUG
Molecule: long non-coding RNA, 731 nt
Organism: Aquila chrysaetos chrysaetos
Lineage: Eukaryota; Metazoa; Chordata; Aves; Accipitriformes; Accipitridae
Exons: 3
Source: RefSeq, a predicted model, not a curated record